This 253-nucleotide ribosomal RNA is filed under the name uncultured bacterium. RNAcentral's name for it is "partial 16S ribosomal RNA". It matches the Rfam family "Bacterial small subunit ribosomal RNA", at positions 524 to 776 of the family's 1533-position model. The record is from RNAcentral.
UACGUAGGGACCAAGCGUUGUCCGGAAUCAUUGGGCGUAAAGAGCGUGUAGGCGGCUUGUUAAGUCUUGCGUGAAAUCUCGGGGCUCAACCCCGAGCGGUCGUGAGAAACUGGCAGGCUAGAGUGCGGGAGAGGAGAGUGGAAUUCCUGGUGUAGCGGUGAAAUGCGCAGAUAUCAGGAGGAACACCAAUGGCGAAGGCAGCUCGCUGGAACGGUACUGACGCUGAGGCGCGAAAGCGUGGGGAGCGAACAGG